GCGCCGUCGCCGCGGCUUGUGUGCUGGCGUCUGGGAUCGAUUGCCAGAUGCUUUCGCUCAGUCCCGGCGUCCUCCCACCUGGCAGGUCGGAACGCCGGGGAGCCCGGCUGCUCCCCGCCGAGGUUUUUCUCGUUUCUAAGGUGGGGAGCCCUGGCAAAGGAGCUGGUCGUGGUGGACUCGUCAGGGGAUAAAGAUGGAGACCCCUCGUCUGAGUCGGCAGGAAAGAGACCUGUUCCCGCACAGUGGGUGUCACACUAGCCGGGGCCAAGUGCGGCGGCGGUAGCAGAGCGAGGCCCAGUAGCCCACAACCGAGUCUCGCCACUCCACGGCCCACGACGGAGUCUCGCCACUCCACGAGCCGGGAGCCUCCCCGUGGGUGAGGACAGUAGUAGGUAAGUAGGAGGUGUGGGGGGAUCUGUUGACUUUUCUUCUUCUUUUUUUUAAAGAGUGUGUGAGUGGGAAGGAAAGGCAGAGGCAGAGGGAGAAGCAGGCUCUGCACCGAGCAGGGAGCGGAUGCGGAGCCCAUCCCAGGACCCCAGGAUCAGGACCUCAGCUGAAAGCAGACAUUUAACUGACUGAGCCACCCAGGUGCCCUUAACUUUGUUUUUCAUAUAAGCUUUUUAAUUGUAAAUGUAUUUAAUUUAAUUUGUAAUAUUCGUUGCGUUUAAAUAAGCAGCUCACAAAAUGCCUGAAAGCUUAACAGUUGGCCCCGCUGAGCGACGUGAGCCGCCCCCACUCGGCAGCUUUGUCCUCCUCCUUCUGUGUAAACGAUCUAGUCCUGUGACGUGGGGAUGCUCUGGAACUCCAGUGGGCAGCCAAGAAUUCCAGACCCGUGAGACAUGAAGCCGACCGUCAAAGAUCCGUGGCCAGGAUGUGCUGGAGAAGGUAAACAUCGUCGCGUCCGCGCAGGCGCCGGAACCACGCGCAGGAGCGCUCGCGGCACUGUGGUCCCUAAGAAAGAGACAGAUGUCAGCCGGCAGCGGAACAGACGCCUCAGCUGGGGUAUCGUCACAGAAUGGAAGCUGACAGGACACAAACGAGUCACACUUCUACACAGCAACACAGAUGAAUACACAGAUGAAUCUGCCAAACCGGAUUUUCUGCGAGAAAGACACCAGGCACAAAAGACUGCAUGUAGUUUGAUUUCCAUUUAAUUAAGAUCCCAAACCAGCUCAACUGAAUGACUGUCGGACAUUGGGAGGAGGGACGUUGAGGGAGGACAGAGGGCGGUGAGUGACAGAGCGAGGUGAGCAGCAGUCGGCGGACGAUCUGUUCCGACCGGCGUGUGCUGCGGGCCUGGUCGCUCUGCUCGUUCAGUGAGCUUUACAGUGCUCUUUUGUCACAUUUUGUUACGAUUUUCUCUUUGUAGGUUAUGUUUCCUGAUUCAAAAAGUUUAAAGAAGGUUGGGAUCUUCUAAGGACUGUUUUCCAUGAAAGAAUUUUCAGCAUCAGAAUGAACUUGAAAACCUCCAGUUUGCUUUCUAGGUAGGUUCAGGAGCUGCUUAAGUGCUACUCACUGUUUUCAUCUCUCAGUACCAAAAUACUGAAUGAAUAUUUGCUGCACAACCAUGGAGUAUGUAGCAUAUUAGCAGCUUUAUAAAUAAAAGGAUAAAAUCAACCCA
Molecule: long non-coding RNA, 1621 nt
Organism: Neogale vison (American mink)
Lineage: Eukaryota; Metazoa; Chordata; Mammalia; Carnivora; Mustelidae
Source: Ensembl